RNAcentral lists this ribosomal RNA (45 nucleotides) under Garcinia gummi-gutta. Its description in RNAcentral is "partial 28S ribosomal RNA". The record is from RNAcentral. Lineage: Eukaryota; Viridiplantae; Streptophyta; Magnoliopsida; Malpighiales; Clusiaceae.
CCGCGACAUGCCAAACUACGAGCUGAUUUUAACCAUAUCAAUAAC